CCAUUUUCAAAGACCUACAGGUUUGGAAGACCUGGGUCUGAAACAGCUAGCCAUUUGGUUCUUUAAAGAUCCCUGAAUGAUGUGAGUUACUUGGGCGAGUGGGUCAGGACCCUGUUAUGAGGCAGGUGAUGGAAAAAAUCCAUUCACAAUAUUUUCUCUAGCAACAAGCCAGAUAUGGUGAUCAGGGGACUGUGAAGUUUACCAAAUGGGGGAUGUCAGUCAAAAGAAAACAUGGCAUAGAUUAUCAGUAUUCUGGCCAGGCCUCAGAGAUGUGGCAUAGCAGUAUGUGAAAAAGGGAUCUUGAGUUUAUGUGGAAGGGCAAGUAGACUAUGGUGAAUAUAUGGAUAAAAAUAAUGUGAGGUGGCAAGCAAUGACUAUCAUAGCUGAUAAUAUUAUACUUCUAAGAGACCAGGCAAAAGAGAAGGCGUGGAAUGGA
This 436-nucleotide long non-coding RNA is filed under the name Homo sapiens (human). Its description in RNAcentral is "non-protein coding lnc-JCAD-4:1". Lineage: Eukaryota; Metazoa; Chordata; Mammalia; Primates; Hominidae. The record is from RNAcentral.